RNAcentral lists this non-coding RNA (998 nucleotides) under Physcomitrium patens. RNAcentral describes it as "Physcomitrella patens Eukaryotic large subunit ribosomal RNA". It matches the Rfam family "Eukaryotic large subunit ribosomal RNA", at positions 2390 to 3399 of the family's 3401-position model. Lineage: Eukaryota; Viridiplantae; Streptophyta; Bryopsida; Funariales; Funariaceae. The record is from Rfam by way of RNAcentral.
AGAAUUAUUAAGCAAAGAAGAUCCCGUUGAGCUUGAUUCUAGUCCAACUUUGUGAAAUGACUUAAAACGUAUAGAAUAAGUGGAAGCUCUUUAAAAUUCACUAGUAAAAUACUACUAUUGUUAAUGUUAUUUUAUUGAUUCCAUGAGGUAGAGGUGGAACUUUGUCCCUACUUUUGAUUUUAAUGUGUCCCUUGAGGCUCCAAUCCAAGUAGAAGACAUUGUUAAGUAGAAAAUUUUGCUAGAAUGGCAUAUCUAAAAGAUAAUAUAGGUAUUCUAAGAUGAGUUCAACGAGAAAAAUAAUCUCAUAUAGAAUAAAAGGGUGAAAGCUCAUUUGAUUUUGAUUUUCAAGAUGAAUAUAAAUUGAGAAAGCAUGGCCUAUUGUUCUUUUAGUCUUUUUGGAAUUUGAAGCUAGAGGUAUCAAAAAAGUUACUACAUGAAUAAUUGGCUUGUAACAACAAAGCAUUCAUAGUAAUAUUACUUUUUGAUCCUUCAAUAUCCGCUCUUUCUAUAAUUAUAAAGCAGAAUUCAUCAAGUAUUAGAUUAUUCAUCCACUAAUAUAGAAUGUGAGCUAGAUUUAAAUCGUUGUGAUACAAGUUAGUUUUAUGAUCCCUAUUGAUGAUCGAUGUUGCAAUAGUAAUUCAAUUAAGUAUAAGAGUAAUCAUUGAUUUAUAUAAUUGAUCAUUGCAUUUGAUUGAAAAGUCAAUGACAUAAAGCUACCAUAUUUAAAAUUAUUAUUGAAUGCCUCUAAGUCAAAAUCCAUGCUAGAAGCAGUACUUUCUUCUUCUCCAAUUAUUACUUGACUAUUAGUAGGGAUGUCUAUUGAAAGCUCUUCCAUAGUGGUGAAAGAUGACAAUUUGGAUGCUUAGCAUUAUAAUUCCAAAUGAUGUAAGAGCUGAAUCCUUUGGAGAUGAUUUAAAUAUGGAACGAGGUAUUAUAAGUGGUAGAGUAGCCUUGCUACUACAAUCCAUUGAGAUUCAACUUCACCAUCUCAAUGAUUU